Molecule: ribosomal RNA, 452 nt
Filed under: uncultured bacterium
Lineage: Bacteria
Description: bacterial SSU rRNA
Rfam family: Bacterial small subunit ribosomal RNA
Source: RNAcentral
GUGGGGAAUAUUGGGCAAUGGGCGAAAGCCUGACCCAGCAAUGCCGUGUGAGCGAUGAAGUCCUUCGGGAUGUAAAGCUCUUUUAUGAGGGAAGAAACGCAUGGAGGUGAAUAGCCUCCAUUGUCUGACGGUACCUCAUGAAUAAGCCCCGGCUAACUCCGUGCCAGCAGCCGCGGUAAUACGGAGGGGGCGAGCGUUGUUCGGAAUCACUGGGCGUAAAGGGCGCGUAGGCGGCCUUGAAGGUCAGAUGUGAAAUCCCUGAGCUUAACUCAGGAACUGCGUUUGAAACCUCAAGGCUUGAGGCCGGGAGAGGAAAGUGGAAUUCCUGGUGUAGCGGUGAAAUGCGUAGAUAUCAGGAGGAACACCGGUGGCGAAGGCGGCUUUCUGGACCGGUUCUGACGCUGAAGCGCGAAAGCGUGGGGAGCAAACGGGAUUAGAAACCCUUGUAGUCC